GACGAACGCUGGCGGCGUGCUUAACACAUGCAAGUCGAACGGAAAGGCCCUGCUUUUGUGGGGUGCUCGAGUGGCGAACGGGUGAGUAACACGUGAGUAACCUGCCCUUGACUUUGGGAUAACUUCAGGAAACUGGGGCUAAUACCGGAUAGGAGCUCCUGCUGCAUGGUGGGGGUUGGAAAGUUUCGGCGGUGGGGGAUGGACUCGCGGCUUAUCAGCUUGUUGGUGGGGUAGUGGCUUACCAAGGCUUUGACGGGUAGCCGGCCUGAGAGGGUGACCGGCCACAUUGGGACUCAGAUACGGCCCAGACUCCUACGGGAGGCAGCAGUGGGGAAUAUUGCACAAUGGGCGGAAGCCUGAUGCAGCAACGCCGCGUGCGGGAUGACGGCCUUCGGGUUGUAAACCGCUUUCGCCUGUGACGAAGCGUGAGUGACGGUAAUGGGUAAAGAAGCACCGGCUAACUACGUG
RNAcentral lists this ribosomal RNA (468 nucleotides) under uncultured bacterium. Its description in RNAcentral is "partial 16S ribosomal RNA". It matches the Rfam family "Bacterial small subunit ribosomal RNA", at positions 28 to 507 of the family's 1533-position model. The record is from RNAcentral.